Long non-coding RNA from Xiphophorus couchianus (Monterrey platyfish), 2966 nucleotides. RefSeq lists it as uncharacterized. The transcript has 3 exons. The record is from RefSeq and is a predicted model, not a curated record. NCBI's taxonomy places the organism in Eukaryota, Metazoa, Chordata, Actinopteri, Cyprinodontiformes, Poeciliidae.
CGCCAAGAAUCUAUUGUUCAUACUGGCAGCAGCGUCUGUGAAGGGAAAAGUAUCUGUUCAGGGCUCACCUUUAAGGAAAACCUUCUCCACAGAAAGGCAAAAUUUAAACUGACAAGAGAAAAACCUCUAAAAGCUAAAGGAUAUUGUAUCAAACUAAACAAGCAUCAUGGGACGAGGUGAGAGUGAGGGGUGGGAGGAAGAGCCUAAGACAACUCAACCCCAGAGUCAUGGGGACAACAAGGAAAAAAGUUCCAAGGGUGGAGGCUGUCCAAAGUGCUGCUUGAAGACCAGGGACUGUCUGAUGAGCCCAGAAUGUGGCAGAGCACUGCAGAUCUCCAGUGUUGUUGCCUUCUGCGGAAUGUGUAUCCGUGCAUGGACGUAAUCACCAAGGCCUUCGGGACUUCUAUGAACUAUGAAGAAUCUUUCAAUCUUCUGAUUGAAAUAUUUUAGUGUACUCUGAAAUGAAAAAUGUUUAAUUUGACUCUUUACUUAGUUUUUCUUAACUUCAGUAAAUAUUUAAUAUAAAAAAUAAGUUAGCAGUAUUUUAAACAGAUAGGCCAGUUAUUAAAAAUGUCAUACUUUACCAAAAUAUUUGAUUUAUGUAGAAAGAGGGAAGUGUAUUUGUAUCUAUGCAGUAAAUAAUGUCAUAAUGUAGAAAGCUGGAGUCAAGCUUGUUUGUAUAUAUUGUAAUUUAAAGAAUUACAUGGGAAGAGUUCGAAUGUAUACAAUAACUAAGUAAGCGUAAUUUAUUUUUUGAGUCAAAGUAAAAAAAUGUAUCUCCCUACAAAUUGGUCACAUGUAAGAGAUAAAUAAUAUUCAUAUUGAAAACCUGUUCUCACAAUUUGAUCACAACAAAAAUCAUCUGACAUUCAUCAAGGCCUUCAAGUUGAAGGCUUUGGUUCAGUUUGCCCGUUUUUAGAGACUGUUAAUUUUAUGAAACAAAAACCACAUUUCCUUCCAUUGGACAGGAAGCAGAUAAUAAAAAUAUAAAUCAUCAGUUGUUAAAUCUGAUCAAAUGUAAAGACGAUUGAUAAAAAAUGUUCUGUGGCAGAUUGCUCAAUUUUGCAUACAAAAAAAGUCAGUUGUGAAAAAAAAUAAAAGGCAGGAAAAAUUGAAAAUUUGAAGUUGUUUUAUAGUACUAGUAAGGUUGUAUGUGUGGGUCAGGGUUAAAUCCUGUACAAAAAAGAACUCCAACAACUAUGAAGUACAGGGGUGGCAUCAUGUUGUGUGUGUGUUUUGUAGCAGGAAGAACUGGUGCAAUUCACAAAAUAGAGAAAAAGAGCUCUAUGUGCAAAUAUUGAACGUCUCAAUAUUUAUUAAAUGCUGCAGACUUUUUAUACAGAAAAUUCUUAAAAUUAUAUGUAACUUACCAAAAGCAUAUUAGUUUUAAAUAUGUGUUAUUAGUGUAUAUGUUAGAUUCAUUUGUCCUUAUGUAGCUGCCUUCCUGUGUCCCACUGUCAGCAAAGGCAUCACAAUACAGGGGUGACAUUUAAGGCGGACCGAUUAAAGCUUCUCUGCAAUUAAUUUCGCUUUCCUCUCCCUGCUAAAUACACAAUCAACCAAAGGCAAAAUGUCACUGAAACAAACGAGGAGCCGCCGUGUGGCUGACAAUUACCACCAAGCACCUCAGAAAUGCCAAUAUGUUAAACUGGGAGCGGUGUGUGUGAUGAAUGAGCACAAAUGGCGAUCCAGAGGCCUGGUGUUGCAGCCUUGCCAAAAAUGGUAAUGACAGCUGACAAGUCGAUGCAUAGGUCAAACGUUUCAAAGGUGUUGCACAUAACAUAUCUGAUAAAUAGGAUCACAUCAUUAGUAAUACAAGAAAAAUGCACCGUUCUGCACAGCAUUAUAAGCCGGUAUUGAUUACAUGAUACCAAAUCAAUUUUCUGAAUUCACCGUAGUGUCUUAAGUCAAUGAUACAUUUUUAAUAUAUAAACUAUUAAGACCACAACACAGUUUUAUGCUGUGUCAUUUAUAUACACAAGCCCAGACAAGUCUAAAAUCCCAGCAAUAACUACUAAUACCCAGGAAAAAGCGAGCUAGAAACGACCAGGCACUAUGACUAGUGAGCAGAAACAAUCUUAUAAUGGACUGAGGAAACCAGAAACAAUACAGAGGUAUAUAAAAGGGAUAUUAUGAUCUGCUGGUUUUCCAGAUAAUUUAAGUUUGAUAUUCAUUUAAGAUUUAAUCUGGGGAUAUUUAGUUAUGCCUGUGGGACAAGAACUCUUCCUACUCACUAUUAAUGAACUAUUAUCAUGAUGUAAUCACAAAGUUAGUUUAUUUUACUGAGUUUGUUUUAUGUUUGAGUUGUCCACAUGCUUAAGCAGAGCAUUUAGCUCUUUUGUGCUUUUUAAUAUAUACACAUUUAUUAUGUUUUAUUGCAUUUGUGACAACCUUCUCUUUUUCUCUCAAAAAAAAUUUAAUUUUCAAGAGUUUUUCCUGAGUAAAUCAGUUGUUGCAUAAAUAAGUUUAUAUAUAUAUAUAUAAUGAUGUUGACUAAGAAGUGUGGACAGCACUGAAAUAGAACCAAAUCUACUUUAGUUAAUGGAAACCCCCAUUGAGACUGACCAGGAUUUCAAGCUGCUCCUGUUGGACAGAAACUCACUUGGAAUGCAGCAACCCCAUCUGUUGUACUCAGACUGAGCCAUCUUAACGAGCUGAAAUGUUUCAGUGUUGGGUGAUCAGCACCCACCUGCCCUCUUACAGUUUAGAGUCAAGAAAACCCAAUCCCUAUCUGGGGACUACACUGUGUUUGUCAGGUUGUCAAAACGGAAAUGCUCCUUCAGAUAAUUUUUUUCCACAUUUUUUUUCUUGUCAGGCACCACAGUCUGCCCAUGUGAUUAUCUCCAUCCGCAGCAAGUCACGGUGUGAUGAAUAGCCAUUUUAUUCAAAAUAAAAUAACUAAAUACUGCUAAUAAAUAUUUUUUUUAAAUACUCCAUAAACUAAAUAAAGGUUCCAAUGAAGUUUU